GCGUGUGGAUCAAGGACUGGAACGUAGCCCCUUUACAGCCACCGUGGAAAGGACCUCAAACCAUCAUCCUGACCACCCCCACGGCUGUAAAGGUAGAAGGAAUCCCAGCCUGGAUCCACAACAGCCAUGUGAAACCUACAGCCACUGAAAACUAGGAGACAAAACCGAGCCUGGACAAGCCCUGCAAAGUGACUCUGAGGAGGACGACAAGCCCUGCUCCAGUCACAUCCAGAAGCUGACUGGUCUACGCACGGCUGAAGCAUGAGGAGAAUCAUCGUAAAACUCAUUUUCCUUAUAAUUUGGACUUGUAUAGUAAAAACUUCCACUGAUUUUCCCCGCAUGAAAGACUACUCUUAGUGUAUACAUCAGGUUACUGAGAUUCUUGGCCUUCCCACCCUACCCCGCAUGAUACAGAUACACUUUUAGGCAUCUGCAAUGGAUACGCUUGCUCCAGCCAAAGGGUAUUGAAAAAAGCAUGAACAGCUAAUAUGAAUGUCAAAAGGAAGUAACUUCAUCAACUGAAGAAUCUGGCCUGCAUAUCACUGGGCAUCAGG
Molecule: long non-coding RNA, 554 nt
Filed under: Homo sapiens (human)
Lineage: Eukaryota; Metazoa; Chordata; Mammalia; Primates; Hominidae
Description: HSALNT0310684
Source: RNAcentral